This 879-nucleotide long non-coding RNA is filed under the name Heterocephalus glaber (naked mole-rat). RNAcentral's name for it is "lncRNA (ENSHGLG00100045391.1)". Lineage: Eukaryota; Metazoa; Chordata; Mammalia; Rodentia; Bathyergidae. The record is from RNAcentral.
GUCAGACUAGACUGGACCUCCUGAUGGGAGGUGCCACAAAGAUCUGGUGACCAUGUUUAACUUCUCCCAGUUUCUCUCUGGCCACAGCACUACCAUUCUUCAAAUGCAGAUAAAAUUCUCCCCUUCCAAGAUAUUGCAAAGUCUCAUCCCAUUACAGGGUCCUGCUCAGGAUCCUGGAGCUUGUGGUUUUCCUCUGGUAUGGGUACAGAUUGAGUCUCUCAGGUGUGUCAGCUCCUGUGCAACUGGGAACCUGUGGAUUUAAAAGAUAAAACAGUGAAGGAAAAGGAACCAGAGGACACAGCUCCCAUGCACAUCCCAAAAGUGGAGAGGAGAGGCAAAAGGAGGACUGGAGGACUGCUCGCCUCAACCUACCCAGUGUGAUUAUUGCAGCACAUAUGGUUUAGAGCCGUUGAGAAAAAUAAUGGAUCUGCCUGAAUUAGCACCUGACUUGGGGAUUAAUCAGAAGGCAGCCAAGCUGACCAGAGGCACAUUGCCCAUGGUGUGGACAGCAGGAGGUGGUGUCUGUAGCAGCUCAAAACCUGUUCACAAAGACAGAAUUUGGUCUCAGACAAGUGAAGAUUCCUGAUUUUCAUUUCUGAUAGCUCCAUUUCUGGAUUUAUUAAAACUUUAAGGUUGAACUGCAAAUGAUAUACUUAGCAAUAAAGAAUAGCUGGAGAUCUUGGAGUCAGGUGAAUGAGAUGGCUUCUCAGCUCUUGACAUUUGCCACCUUAUCGAAGGCAGCAGGUGAGCAUCCCCAAGUUGUGUUGACCGAUGCUAUAUAUCACCAAGGAAAAGAGACCAAAAAUAGACUGUAGAACGAUGUCUUCAAAUGCUGUCUCUUGACCUUGUAUUUUGGGUGAAAGGAUUAAAGGAGUGAAG